Long non-coding RNA from Myotis davidii, 285 nucleotides. RefSeq lists it as uncharacterized. The record is from RefSeq and is a predicted model, not a curated record. NCBI's taxonomy places the organism in Eukaryota, Metazoa, Chordata, Mammalia, Chiroptera, Vespertilionidae. The transcript is spliced from 3 exons.
GAGCCGAUCAGGAUGUUGUCCGGCAUUGGAGAGUGUCCAUUCGUCCUCCGUUUUUUCUGUUAGUCUGUCCCUUCAUCCCUGCUUGUGCUUCCAAGAUGUUUCGUGUGAGAAGGUUGAGGGAAGGCCGAUGUCCCCACUGGCUGUUGGCUGUGAUGGAAGCGGCCAGGAGUCGUGCGGGCAGCUGUUGGAGGGAGCCGUGGCGGAACGGUGGAGGUGGCGGUGAGUGGUGACAGCCCCGUGUCGGGUGUCGUGCAGGCACGUGAGGCUCUCCCCUGAACAGUGUGU